This 497-nucleotide ribosomal RNA is filed under the name uncultured bacterium. RNAcentral's name for it is "partial 16S ribosomal RNA". It matches the Rfam family "Bacterial small subunit ribosomal RNA", at positions 28 to 507 of the family's 1533-position model. The record is from RNAcentral.
GACGAACGCUGGCGGCGUGCCUAAUACAUGCAAGUUGAGCGCUGAAGGUUGGUACUUGUACCAACUGGAUGAGCAGCGAACGGGUGAGUAACGCGUGGGGAAUCUGCCUUUGAGCGGGGGACAACAUUUGGAAACGAAUGCUAAUACCGCAUAAAAACUUUAAACACAAGUUUUAAGUUUGAAAGAUGCAAUUGCAUCACUCAAAGAUGAUCCCGCGUUGUAUUAGCUAGUUGGUGAGGUAAAGGCUCACCAAGGCGAUGAUACAUAGCCGACCUGAGAGGGUGAUCGGCCACAUUGGGACUGAGACACGGCCCAAACUCCUACGGGAGGCAGCAGUAGGGAAUCUUCGGCAAUGGACGAAAGUCUGACCGAGCAACGCCGCGUGGGUGAAGAAGGGUUUCGGAUCGUAAAACUCUGUUGGUAGAGAAGAACGUUGGUGAGAGUGGAAAGCUCAUCAAGUGACGGUAACUACCCAGAAAGGGACGGCUAACUACGUG